This 253-nucleotide ribosomal RNA is filed under the name uncultured bacterium. RNAcentral's name for it is "partial 16S ribosomal RNA". It matches the Rfam family "Bacterial small subunit ribosomal RNA", at positions 524 to 776 of the family's 1533-position model. The record is from RNAcentral.
CACGUAGGGGACGAGCGUUGUCCGGAUUCAUUGGGCGUAAAGCGCGCGUAGGCGGCUCGGAAAGUCGGUCGUGAAAUGCCGGGGCUCAACCCCGGGACUGCGUCCGAUACUCCCGAGCUGGAGGCAGGUAGGGGAGAUCGGAAUUCCUGGUGUAGCGGUGAAAUGCGCAGAUAUCAGGAGGAACACCGGUGGCGAAGGCGGAUCUCUGGGCCGGAACUGACGCUAAGGAGCGAAAGCGUGGGGAGCGAACAGG